This 464-nucleotide ribosomal RNA is filed under the name uncultured bacterium. RNAcentral's name for it is "partial 16S ribosomal RNA". It matches the Rfam family "Bacterial small subunit ribosomal RNA", at positions 339 to 795 of the family's 1533-position model. The record is from RNAcentral.
CUACGGGUCGCUCCAGUGGGGAGUAUUGCACAAUGGGCGCAAGCCUGAUGCAGCCAUGCCGCGUGUAUGAAGAAGGCCUUCGGGUUGUAAAGUACUUUCAGCGGGGAGGAAGGGAGUAAAGUUAAUACCUUUGCUCAUUGACGUUACCCGCAGAAGAAGCACCGGCUAACUCCGUGCCAGCGGCCGCGGUAAUACGGAGGGUGCAAGCGUUAAUCGGAAUUACUGGGCGUAAAGCGCACGCAGGCGGUUUGUUAAGUCAGAUGUGAAAUCCCCGGGCUCAACCUGGGAACUGCAUCUGAUACUGGCAAGCUUGAGUCUCGUAGAGGGGGGUAGAAUUCCAGGUGUAGCGGUGAAAUGCGUAGAGAUCUGGAGGAAUACCGGUGGCGAAGGCGGCCCCCUGGACGAAGACUGACGCUCAGGUGCGAAAGCGUGGGGAGCAAACAGGAUUAGAUACCCCCGUAGUC